This 252-nucleotide ribosomal RNA is filed under the name uncultured bacterium. RNAcentral describes it as "partial 16S ribosomal RNA". It matches the Rfam family "Bacterial small subunit ribosomal RNA", at positions 524 to 776 of the family's 1533-position model. The record is from RNAcentral.
UACGGAGGAUGCGAGCGUUAUCCGGAUUUAUUGGGUUUAAAGGGUGCGUAGGCGGACUGUCAAGUCAGCGGUAAAAUUGAGAGGCUCAACCUCUUCCCGCCGUUGAAACUGGUGGUCUUGAGUGGAUGAGAAGUACGCGGAAUGCGUGGUGUAGCGGUGAAGUGCAUAGAUAUCACGCAGAACUCCGAUUGCGAAGGCAGCGUACCGGCAUCCAACUGACGCUGAGGCACGAAAGCGUGGGGAUCAAACAGG